This 393-nucleotide ribosomal RNA is filed under the name uncultured Methanosaeta sp. RNAcentral describes it as "bacterial SSU rRNA". It matches the Rfam family "Archaeal small subunit ribosomal RNA", at positions 946 to 1338 of the family's 1478-position model. Lineage: Archaea; Methanobacteriati; Methanobacteriota; Methanomicrobia; Methanotrichales; Methanotrichaceae. The record is from RNAcentral.
UAUGAAGGUCAGGCUGAAGACCUUACCCGAUUAGCUGAGAGGUGGUGCAUGGCCGUCGUCAGUUCGUACUGUGAAGCAUCCUGUUAAGUCAGGCAACGAGCGAGACCUACGUCCACAGUUGCCAGCAUACCCUCCGGGGUGAUGGGUACACUGUGGAGACCGCCGCUGCUAAAGCGGAGGAAGGAGUGGGCAACGGUAGGUCAGUAUGCCCCGAAUCUCCCGGGCUACACGCGGGCUACAGUGGUUGGUACAAUGGGCAUCUACCCCGAAAGGGGAAGGAAAUCUCUUAAAGCCAAUCGUAGUUCGGAUUGAGGGCUGCAACUCGCCCUCAUGAAGCUGGAAUCCGUAGUAAUCGCGUUUCAACAGAACGCGGUGAAUACGUCCCUGCUCCUU